GGAUGAGAUAUUAUUUGCUUGGAGACAAGCUGAUCUCAUCUGAUCUUAGAAGAUAAGCAGGAUUGGGAUUGGUUAUUACCCAGAUGGGAGACUGCCUGGGACUAUCUAGUGCUGUAGGCU
Notamacropus eugenii (tammar wallaby) is the source of this 120-nucleotide ribosomal RNA. Lineage: Eukaryota; Metazoa; Chordata; Mammalia; Diprotodontia; Macropodidae. The record is from Ensembl.